Aedes albopictus (Asian tiger mosquito) is the source of this 464-nucleotide long non-coding RNA. RefSeq lists it as uncharacterized. The transcript is spliced from 2 exons. The record is from RefSeq and is a predicted model, not a curated record. NCBI's taxonomy places the organism in Eukaryota, Metazoa, Arthropoda, Insecta, Diptera, Culicidae.
CCAAAAAAUUCAAACGUCAAGGUUACGUGGAAAAUCACGUACAACAGAAAUCGCGUUCAUUUCUUUAGUUCACCUGACGAAGAUAACAGAUACCGAUUCAUUGAUGAUGAUCAAACCAAAUCCUUGUGGCCUUCACUCUGGUACCCAGUAUCUCUUACGUGAAAUUUCACGUAACCUAUUCAUUUCAUUUUGACAACCUUUUGCGUUCAUCCACCGAUGCUUGUGGAGCGCAAACAAAUCCAAGAUGGCGGCAGUUGUAAAUAAAUCUAUUUUUGUUACCAAUCCAGCGUUUCAAACAACUGAAUGAUGAACGGUGGAUUACCAUGGGAAUUUAAAUAUGGAGCGGCACAAAAAACGAGCUCAGUGCAAAAAUGAGCUAGCUGAGUGAAAGUGCUUUUGUUAUAGUUUGUGUUCAAUGCAAUCGUGUUUAAAUUAUAAUAAAUAAACAAAGGAUCAAGGAAUAA